UACGUAGGGGGCAAGCGUUGUCCGGAUUUACUGGGCGUAAAGCGCGUGUAGGCGGAAAUGCCAGUCCGGCCUGAAAGCCCUCGGCUCAACCGAGGAUCCGGGUCGGAAACUGCAUUUCUUGAGGGCGGAAGAGGCGUGUGGAAUUCCUGGUGUAGCGGUGAAAUGCGUAGAGAUCAGGAGGAACACCCAUGGCGAAGGCAGCACGCUGGUCCGACCCUGACGCUGAGACGCGAAAGCGUGGGGAGCGAACGGGAUUAGAUACCCCGGUAGUCCACGCCGUAAACGAUGGUCACUAGGUGUUUUCGGUAUCGACCCCGAAAGUGCCGCAGCUAACGCAUUAAGUGACCCGCCUGGGGAGUACGGCCGCAAGGUUGAA
RNAcentral lists this ribosomal RNA (376 nucleotides) under uncultured bacterium. Its description in RNAcentral is "bacterial SSU rRNA". It matches the Rfam family "Bacterial small subunit ribosomal RNA", at positions 524 to 898 of the family's 1533-position model. The record is from RNAcentral.